Molecule: ribosomal RNA, 639 nt
Filed under: Photobacterium damselae subsp. damselae
Lineage: Bacteria; Pseudomonadati; Pseudomonadota; Gammaproteobacteria; Vibrionales; Vibrionaceae
Description: bacterial SSU rRNA
Rfam family: Bacterial small subunit ribosomal RNA
Source: RNAcentral
GGCUGGCGGCAGGCCUAACACAUGCAAGUCGAGCGGCAGCGACUUAACUGAACCUUCGGGGAACGUUAAGGGCGGCGAGCGGCGGACGGGUGAGUAAUGCCUGGGAAUAUGCCCUGAUGUGGGGGAUAACUAUUGGAAACGAUAGCUAAUACCGCAUAAUCUCUUCGGAGCAAAGAGGGGGACCUUCGGGCCUCUCGCGUCAGGAUUAGCCCAGGUGGGAUUAGCUUGUUGGUGAGGUAAUGGCUCACCAAGGCAACGAUCCCUAGCUGGUCUGAGAGGAUGAUCAGCCACACUGGAACUGAGACACGGUCCAGACUCCUACGGGAGGCAGCAGUGGGGAAUAUUGCACAAUGGGGGAAACCCUGAUGCAGCCAUGCCGCGUGUGUGAAGAAGGCCUUCGGGUUGUAAAGCACUUUCAGUAGGGAGGAAGGUAGUGUAGUUAACACCUGCAUUAUUUGACGUUACCUACAGAAGAAGCACCGGCUAACUCCGUGCCAGCAGCCGCGGUAAUACGGAGGGUGCGAGCGUUAAUCGGAAUUACUGGGCGUAAAGCGCAUGCAGGCGGCCUGUUAAGUCAGAUGUGAAAGCCCGGGGCUUAACCUCGGAAUUGCAUUUGAAACUGGCAGGCUAGAGUCUUGU